CCCUCCUCCUCCUCCACCUCCACCAGUAUCAGGAGCUGUGCCCCCUCCUCCUCCUCCACCUCCACCAAUAUCAGGAGCUGUACCACCACCACCUCCUCCACCUCCAUUUCACCCACGUUAAUAACAAUAAGAACAAUAUAGUUCAUGUUGUUGGAUGACUUUAUGUUUGGUAGAUUAAAACAGUUCACGGUGUGAGCAGACACGCUGGGUUUUCUGCCUUAAGAUGGAUGUGUGCAUGUGCAGCAUGUUUUUCUUUUUAGAUCAACGUUAAGCAUAAAUAAAAACUUGGAAAUGUGUCUGUAGUGGUUUAACCUUGAGCUAUUUCAUCUGUGUUGAAUGGCACAGGACGAGCCACAAAUGAUGUUUUUUUUUUUGGGACAGAAAAUCCUCCUUCAAAGUGAAACACUCUGCAGCUCUGAAUGCUGCCGAGCAUGUUUCAACAACACCUUGACUGCAUUCCUAAGAAACAAGCUGAAACAGGGAUUCUUGCAUUUCCUUGUUUCCUUUCUUUUCCCCCGUAAUGUAAUUUCCCUUCCUGACAUCUUUGUGUCAUUGCAGUGUUUCUUAAUCAGUAAGAGUUACCUUAAGAGCCAGUGGCCUUUUGCUCAACACUGACACCGUACUGUGUGAUGAGAGCAGUGUGAAUGAUGGAGUCCUUUACGUCACUUGCUGUAACCUCGGCACGUUCUGCUACUUUAAUCAGGUCAAUGAGGCUAUAAAAUGUCUGUUGCAAGUCAACACUCUACUUAACCUGCACUACAUGGCUGGUACUUGAAGGUAAGCUUUAUUCUCAGCAAGGAAAAUAUCACAUUAGUCAGGGACACUUGUUUAAACUCGUUAAAUCGUUUGCUUUGCUGUAUUGGGUUUAAUUCUGCUCAGCAAGGCCUGAAAAAAAACGACCUGCCUGGUCACACGAGGCCCAUUAUUGUAUAUCCAUCCGAAAGAUAAAGGAAAUGUCUCUCUACUGCCUUUAAUUACUGUCUUCUUUUACUUUAACAGAUCAGAAUUCAAUUCUAUGAUCAUAUAUGUAAGAAAAGAAGAAAGACCCAGAAAAGCUACAAAUACUGUACAGCUUUAACUUUGAGCCUUUGUGUUACGUAGACGCAGUAACCAUUCUUUUUGUGAAACCUGAUUUGGAAAAUAAAACUGCCAUGGUCAUUUAUCUCAUUGCGAUUCAGAUUCCCUUCUUUUUUAUUGGGAUCGUUCUGUGGAUUCUUUGUUGUCAUUUAGCAAAGAAACAGAGGGAAACAGAAGACUGGGCCUCAAGUUCCAGUUCUCCAUCUGUUUAUAUCAUCCCCAUACACGAGGAGGAGGAGGACGAGGAAGUAAUGGACAUACAUGCUCCUUAUUUUCAUCCCCCUUACAGAGACCCUCCUGUGUACAGCUCAGGAAACGUCAGUCCGCCACCGUACUGGCUUGAACCACCAUCCUACUCCGACCCACCACCAUCCUACCCAGAGCCACCACCAUCAUACACAGACCUUCCAGCUUACUCAGAGCAGCCCUGAUCCUCCUCACCUUCCUCCUCCUCCAAUUCAAACACCCUCCAGCCUAAACACAUUUUACUUUUCAUUGUAAGGCAGGUUUAUGGAUGGUUUACUUGUACUUAACUGCUUUAAAUCUGUUCCCAGAUGUUCUUUUUUUUAAGGUCUUUCUGUGACGUCACUGUUGCUAUUACUUCUGCACAAAUUUUAUUUAUAGUAGACAUGCUCAACUUUUUUCUACACCUACAAAUCUCUUCACAUAUUUUCUCUUGCAGUGUCUCAUCACAGCUUUUCCAAAGGUGACAUGCAACCACAGAUUUUGAAAGUCUUUCUGAACACUAUUAUCAUCUAAAUCUUUCUGACCCUUAUUUGAGCCCAUAAAUGUUACUGUAACUUUUAGCGUAUAUAUGUGGUUAUGUGUUUUAUUUAGGGACAUAUCUGUACAGGAUUAAUCAACCUGGAAACAAUCCACUGUGUGGAAGGGAGUAACUUUAUUUGAUUGACACAACUACUGAAUCAAAUGUACCUUAUGUUAUGAUAAAGGUAAGAGGUAAAAUAUUUAAAUAUACAUAUUGUAUACAUGUUUUAAUUAAACUGUGGUUACUUUAUAGUUUAUGCGAUUUACAAAAUUAAGCAAUUUAUACUCAUGA
Toxotes jaculatrix (banded archerfish) is the source of this 2134-nucleotide RNA transcript. It is a transcript of the gene named proline-rich protein 3-like, with no coding region annotated. The record is from RefSeq and is a predicted model, not a curated record. The transcript has 4 exons. Lineage: Eukaryota; Metazoa; Chordata; Actinopteri; Toxotidae.